RNAcentral lists this ribosomal RNA (251 nucleotides) under uncultured bacterium. RNAcentral's name for it is "partial 16S ribosomal RNA". It matches the Rfam family "Bacterial small subunit ribosomal RNA", at positions 525 to 775 of the family's 1533-position model. The record is from RNAcentral.
ACGUAGGGGGCAAGCGUUAUCCGGAUUUACUGGGUGUAAAGGGAGCGUAGGCGGUCUAGCAAGUCAGAAGUGAAAGCCCGGGGCUUAACCGCGGGACUGCUUUUGAAACUGUUGGACUUGAUUGCCGGAGAGGUAAGUGGAAUUCCUAGUGUAGCGGUGAAAUGCGUAGAUAUUAGGAGGAACACCAGUGGCGAAGGCGGCUUACUGGACGGUAAAUGACGCUGAGGCUCGAAAGCGUGGGGAGCAAACAG